Stegodyphus dumicola is the source of this 408-nucleotide long non-coding RNA. RefSeq lists it as uncharacterized. The record is from RefSeq and is a predicted model, not a curated record. NCBI's taxonomy places the organism in Eukaryota, Metazoa, Arthropoda, Arachnida, Araneae, Eresidae.
GUGUUCCGCUCAAAAUUCAAAAGUGAAUUGCGCGAACAUAUGUGCAAAACGGACGUAUUUACUACGGUAAAAAUGGAAGGGCAAGUACAUAUGGCAAUUGCCUCUGUCGUGAAGACCCCUGUCUAGAUCUGGCCGCAAAUCUGUGAAAAGAUUUGAGGAUUACAGAAGCCAAUACCGUGAUAACUUGCUGAAAGACUACAUGGAGAAAUAUGAAGAUUUGAAAUAGAUUUUCCAUUGCAUCUCAGGUUUCGCGGAAGAGAAAGAAGAUAACACGAUUCCAUGAAAUCAAUUAUAUUAUUUCAUGUUAUUCACUACGUAUUUCAUAAAGGCAAUCAUACUCUUUUGGAAUGAAAUAUUUUGAUGAAAUCAUAAAAUACCACUGAAAUCUUUGAAAUAAAAAAUGUGAAA